This 229-nucleotide ribosomal RNA is filed under the name uncultured bacterium. RNAcentral describes it as "partial 16S ribosomal RNA". It matches the Rfam family "Bacterial small subunit ribosomal RNA", at positions 568 to 796 of the family's 1533-position model. The record is from RNAcentral.
UGCGCAGGCGGGGCAAUAAGUCAGUGGUGAAAUCCUGCGGCUUAACCGUAGAACUGCCAUUGAUACUGUUGCCCUUGAGUAUAGUUGAGGUGGGCGGAAUAUGUAAUGUAGCGGUGAAAUGCAUAGAUAUUACAUAGAACACCAAUUGCGAAGGCAGCUCACUAAGCUAUCACUGACGCUGAGGCACGAAAGCGUGGGGAGCGAACAGGAUUAGAUACCCUGGUAGUCC